Brassica napus (rape) is the source of this 2976-nucleotide long non-coding RNA. RefSeq lists it as uncharacterized. Lineage: Eukaryota; Viridiplantae; Streptophyta; Magnoliopsida; Brassicales; Brassicaceae. The record is from RefSeq and is a predicted model, not a curated record. The transcript is spliced from 3 exons.
UUUCUAAAUAAUAUAAUAGAUCCUCAUCCUUUAAAUCUACAACCUUACUUAAUGUUUUCUUUUCUAAAAAACAACGGUUUAAAUGAUAUAAUAUUUUCUACUUAAAAAAACUUACAAUUAAAUCACUAAAAAUUACAGACUAAAUAAACUUUUAUCUCACUCAUAUAAAUUUUUCGUUUAAAUAUUAUUAAAUGGACAACCAAUUAAAAUUUUAUUUUAGUUUUAGAACUAAUUUAUAACUUUCAUGGGUGUUUGAAAAUUUAUCUUUUCAACCAAACUUUUUGUUCCACUUCGUCUUACAUCUAUUUUGAUGUAAUUCGGUAAUUGCACCAUCUAUAUAUAUACAAAAGUGCAUAUACAUAUAUAUAUAUAAUCAAUUUUGAACAAUGACCAUAAUCGUAUUAUCUAUCUAUAUAUAUAUAUAUAUAUAUAAUUUUUGGUACCUCUCGUGUGUGUUCACGUAGAGACUACUUCUGUACAGAGACAACACGUGUCUUGCGUUUCAUUUAAUCCAGUUCGAGAUGGACUUUGAUCGUGGACUUUAAACAAUUGGGCUUCUAAUAUCAUUAUCAAAGUCUCCAACUAUUAGCUUCAUCUUCAAUAUUGGGCUUAAAGACUUUUGUCGUUAUUAGACACCGAUGGACAGCUCCAGUUUAGCCAACCGUCUAUGAAGAUCCUAUUGUGUUCCGAACACCGAUUUUUUUCCGAUCAAUAUCUGUUGGGAGCCGACGUCUCUGUCUAAUCGCUUCAAUUUCUUCUGACUGAGUAUCGAAAUCCAACACUGUUACAGAUCUCAGACUGCAUUCAAUCAUCGUCAUUAACGCCAUUCCUCACACGAUUUCACAUAAAAUACUUCUAUGAAUCUACAACUAAAAAUAUGAGGGUUUUUAUGUGAAAUCAUCAAUUCUAUCCUCUCAAUCAUUCCCAAACUUUCAGAGAUUAGAAUGGCAAACUCUCUGUAUUAUGUGUUUUUGUAUUUUCCACCGUCUCUCACCUGCCAUCAUUUCGUGAAGACGGAGUUGUUGCCGUGACGUUCGAUAUUCACUCCACCACCUCUGGUCAAUCAAGGCGUAAUGGUUUAGGGUGUUACCUUCUGUUCCUUACAUCCGUAGCAACGUAAACAGUUUUCUCCACUUCCGUCUACAAACGGUUUCUCAGUGCUCCUGAUCCAAUCAAGCUUACCUUCACUUCAGCCUACAAAAGGUUUCUCAUCUCUCCUGAUUUAGAUGGAUAGGAGAUGGUAGAGACACAAAAGGAAACAAAUGGAUCAAGCAGAGGAGCAAAGGCACACGUAGUAGAAGGAAUCGUUUUGUCUGAGUUUCUUGAUCUGGAAGUACAAUGGUCUGCAAGAGAAGAAACACUGAUGGACUAUCAGUACAUAAUAAAACACUAUGAAUCUAGGAGGAAUCAGUGUUGAUGAUUAUUUUGUUGAAAGAAGAGGAGAUUUUUCCAAAGUGGAUCUAUUGGGGAGUAAACCCGAGGACUACAUUGUUAAAUCAUUGGUUUGGUUAAGGGAAAAGAUGUGAAGAAAAAUGCUUUGUCCGGAUGACAUGAGAUUCUUAGUUUAAAGCUUCAUUCUUGGAUGAGUUUAACUCUGAAUGUUCUAAAAGAUUUGAAUAGUUUUCAUGUUUGAAAUAUUUGGUAAAGAUCACUUUGUAACUUUAACAUGUGUGGAUUCACUCUAAGAACUGAGAGUGUGUGGUCUUCAGAAACAAACCAGAGAUGCUAAAGAACCAGGUCCUAAAUUUAUGUUUUUGUGUUUUGAAUAGUGACAAGCUCAAGGUAUCUUUGGCAAUGGUUAAUAGGAGGAUGAGAAGCUUAUGGCGUAAGGCAAGACAGCUGAAGGAUUUCGAAAGUGGCUAGAGUCGAAGUAUGAAAGCAGGAGUAGUUUGUGCUCUCUGAGUCAAGAGAGUGACUACAUAUUAUAUUUACCUAAGUGACGUCGGAUUACUUUCUUGAGGCGUUGUCGUUUUAUCUUUGAUGGUAUCAAACAUUCUAUAAUCAAAACAUAUAUCUUCUCUCUUUCCUCUCUUCUUCCUAUCUUCUUUUCUAUUCUCUUCUUUCUCUAUUUUCUGGUUACAGGUUACAGAGUUGAUAAGUUGAAACUUAUCAAGUAGAUUAUAAAGUUUCUAUAUGUUUGUCUAAAUCUUAUAUCUCCAAUCCCGUGAACCAUAUUAAUUUAGGGUGAAUUUGAUUUGUCUGUCUUCUUUUGACUAAUUAAUUAACUUUGUGUAUAUAUUUUUCAUUUGUUUGAAUAGGUCAUGAACUCAAAAGUUGAGACAUGAGAGUAAGAAGUUCUCAGAUGAUUGGAAGAUGUGGGCUAGCUGUGACAGUUAAGACAAAGCAGUAGAAUAACUGAAACCAUUAGCGGUGGAAAUCUCUCAUCUGAGUUCUUGCGACGGAGAAUGCAAAACUUUACUCCGAGAAAAUCAAGGAAAAAGGUUCUGCAUGUAUUCUUUAAAGAGUGUUUUACUCAUUAUCAUACGGCAACUACAGGUCUCUGCAAAGGGCAUUGUGGGGGCAUAUUAGUCCACACCUUUAUCGAAUAACCAAAUGUAGAAACGUUGCUCUAAAUAGUUGCAUGUGGUUAGAGAAGUAAUGAGGUGUUAAAGACAGUUCAGAGGGAAAAUAGUUCAUGAUUCUUCUGCAACGAUUGAUCUAUUGAUCUACAAUUUAUAGCAUUUCCAUAGCUCUGUAGUGCACAUAGUAACUUUUAUUAGAUGAGCUAGGUCUGAACGAUGCUCAAGUAUCUGAGGACAAUUUCAGAAGCUUCUCUGCACCUAGACAUCAGGAAUCACCAGUCUUCCGGUUAAAGAACUCUUAACUAAGUGGUAAACCAUAACACCAGCUAUGCCAUGGAAAGAGACUGGUGAUAACAGAAAAUAAUAUAAGUUUUCGCCUUCUAGAGUCAUUUGUUCAUGUUUCCAAUAUAUGAUAGUGGAGGAAGAAGCUACAUGAAAUAUAAAUUUUCCUUAA